GAUGAACGCUGGCGGCGUGCCUAAUACAUGCAAGUCGAGCGAACAGACGAGGAGCUUGCUCCUCUGACGUUAGCGGCGGACGGGUGAGUAACACGUGGAUAACCUACCUAUAAGACUGGGAUAACUUCGGGAAACCGGAGCUAAUACCGGAUAAUAUAUUGAACCGCAUGGUUCAAUAGUGAAAGACGGUUUUGCUGUCACUUAUAGAUGGAUCCGCGCCGCAUUAGCUAGUUGGUAAGAUAACGGCUUACCAAGGCGACGAUGCGUAGCCGACCUGAGAGGGUGAUCGGCCACACUGGAACUGAGACACGGUCCAGACUCCUACGGGAGGCAGCAGUAGGGAAUCUUCCGCAAUGGGCGAAAGCCUGACGGAGCAACGCCGCGUGAGUGAUGAAGGUCUUCGGAUCGUAAAACUCUGUUAUUAGGGAAGAACAAAUGUGUAAGUAACUAUGCACGUCUUGACGGUACCUAAUCAGAAAGCCACGGCUAACUACGUG
This 497-nucleotide ribosomal RNA is filed under the name uncultured bacterium. RNAcentral describes it as "partial 16S ribosomal RNA". It matches the Rfam family "Bacterial small subunit ribosomal RNA", at positions 28 to 507 of the family's 1533-position model. The record is from RNAcentral.